UAUAAGUAAACCAAACCCUAAAAUCUAGGGAGAUGUCCCAUCCAUCCUGUCUUGUGCCGCCACUCUAGCAAAUCCCUCUCGGGAUCUCCCCUGCCAGAUCCGAUCCAGCCAACCACCCACAGCUAUCUCCCUCCUUGAUUUCAUCCUCGACCCAAUCCCCUCGCAGCCAGUCCCCUCCUUCCUGAUUUUUCAGCGCCGCCCAAUCGCCGCAGCCAUCCAUCAAUCCGAUCCAGGCGUAGCUCACUCCGAGCUUCUCUGCUCGCUCGUCCCUGAGCAACUCGCUCCAUCAGCUCCGCCUCCUCGAGCACCAGGACCCCCACGGCCGGUCUUUUCGAGUUCGUCGUCACCGGCCACCCAAGCACCAGCAGCAGCGUCGGACCUCUCUGCCUCCCUCUCCCAUUCUUGCUUCCUCGUUCCCUUGCUGCUUCUUCUCUGCUCCCUCAGACUCAUCUCGCAGGUCUAUCUGGUUUAGGAACCAAAGCACCCUGUGCCUACUCGCCUUGACGCCAUGCAUGCCCGCCCGAGCCCCGCCGGCCACAAGUCGCCGUCAGAGCUGUUGUCUCCGCCCGUUUCCCUGUCGUCCUCGACCGCCCCUCAGCUCCGUCUGCAUCGUCGUUGCCCGGAUUCGGCGCCGGCCAGCCGGAUCCGUCCCGUCCCCACCUCCCCUGCCUUCCCUGUAGCCUGCCUCCAAUCCCCUUCAUGUCCCGCGCCGCCACGCUGGCACGACCGUGUUGACCAUCGGUCGUCGCCAGGAGAAGACGACCGCACGAGCUCGCCCGCUCCCAUUCACCUUCUAGGCCACAUCGCCGCGCCAAGGCCAGCCUCCUCUGCCUCCUGGUCUGGGCCUUGGCCCAUGUGUUGCUUCUUCUUGAUAUUUCCGGUUAAGUUGCGAUUGUGGAGACCCGUUCGACUACAUAGGUUCGCCUACUUUAUGGAUUCGGUCUUCUUCUUAGCGGGAUUUCACGCAAGAUGACCGUCACCUUGGAUCUCGGUGCAGUUGCAGGUUGUUCCAUGUUGGGAGAUGGAUAUCAUGGGAUGUGUCACAAUAUA
Molecule: long non-coding RNA, 1050 nt
Organism: Triticum urartu
Lineage: Eukaryota; Viridiplantae; Streptophyta; Magnoliopsida; Poales; Poaceae
Source: RefSeq, a predicted model, not a curated record